GAUGAACGCUGGCGGCGUGCCUAAUACAUGCAAGUCGAGCGAACGGACGAGAAGCUUGCUUCUCUGAUGUUAGCGGCGGACGGGUGAGUAACACGUGGAUAACCUACCUAUAAGACUGGGAUAACUUCGGGAAACCGGAGCUAAUACCGGAUAAUAUUUUGAACCGCAUGGUUCAAAAGUGAAAGACGGUCUUGCUGUCACUUAUAGAUGGAUCCGCGCUGCAUUAGCUAGUUGGUAAGGUAACGGCUUACCAAGGCAACGAUGCAUAGCCGACCUGAGAGGGUGAUCGGCCACACUGGAACUGAGACACGGUCCAGACUCCUACGGGAGGCAGCAGUAGGGAAUGUUCCGCAAUGGGCGAAAGCCUGGCGGAGCAACGCCGCGUGAGUGGUGAAGGUCUUCGGAUCGUAAAACUCUGUUAUUAGGGAAGAACAUAUGUGUAAGUAACUGUGCACAUCUUGACGGUACCUAAUCAGAAAGCCACGGCUAACUACGUG
Molecule: ribosomal RNA, 497 nt
Filed under: uncultured bacterium
Lineage: Bacteria
Description: partial 16S ribosomal RNA
Rfam family: Bacterial small subunit ribosomal RNA
Source: RNAcentral